GUAGGUGGCAAGCGUUGUCCGGAAUUAUUGGGCGUAAAGCGCGCGCAGGAGGUUCUUUAAGUCUGAUGUGAAAGCCCCCGGCUCAACCGGGGAGGGUCAUUGGAAACUGGGGAACUUGAGUGCAGGAGAGGAAAGUGGAAUUCCACGUGUAGCGGUGAAAUGCGUAGAUAUGUGGAGGAACACCAGUGGCGAAGGCGACUUUCUGGCCUGUAACUGACACUGAGGCGCGAAAGCGUGGGGAGCAAACAGGGAUUAGAUACCCUGGUAGUCCACGCCGUAAACGAUGAGUGCUAAGUGUUGGAGGGUUUCCGCCCCCUCAGUGCUGCAGCUAACGCAUUAAGCACUCCGCCUGGGAGUACGGUCGCAAGACUG
RNAcentral lists this ribosomal RNA (372 nucleotides) under uncultured organism. Its description in RNAcentral is "partial 16S ribosomal RNA". It matches the Rfam family "Bacterial small subunit ribosomal RNA", at positions 527 to 896 of the family's 1533-position model. The record is from RNAcentral.